Molecule: transfer RNA, 93 nt
Filed under: Synechococcales cyanobacterium ATA2-2-LB2
Lineage: Bacteria; Bacillati; Cyanobacteriota; Cyanophyceae; Synechococcales
Description: tRNA-Ile
Rfam family: tRNA (bases 1-63)
About the family: Transfer RNA (tRNA) molecules are approximately 80 nucleotides in length. Their secondary structure includes four short double-helical elements and three loops (D, anti-codon, and T loops). Further hydrogen bonds mediate the characteristic L-shaped molecular structure. tRNAs have two regions of fundamental functional importance: the anti-codon, which is responsible for specific mRNA codon recognition, and the 3' end, to which the tRNAs corresponding amino acid is attached (by aminoacyl-tRNA synthetases). tRNAs cope with the degeneracy of the genetic code in two manners: having more than one tRNA (with a specific anti-codon) for a particular amino acid; and 'wobble' base-pairing, i.e. permitting non-standard base-pairing at the 3rd anti-codon position.
Source: RNAcentral
UCAGGUGGUUAGAGCGCACCCCUGAUAAGGGUGAGGUCCCUGGUUCGAGUCCAGGAUGGCCCACCUUAGGGAAGGGGGUUUAGCUCAGUUGGU